AUUGCUAACGUGCUCUCCCAGCUCCAGAGCGUGCCCUUGGGGUGGGCUGCUACUUGCUUGGGACUGCACCCCAGCUCAGCUUCUCCCUCUGCCCAGUCCUGCUUCCUGGUCUCAUUUUUACUAGUGUUACUCUUAGGAGGAUCCCUUCAUAAAAUCCUGUUGGCCAAUUUCUCUCUCGCCAUCUGCUUCUCAAGGAACUAAUCCUGGAACAAUCCUCCCAGUAGCCUAAUGUAUACUUAUUACUAAGAUUCUCCUCAAUUAAGUUUUAAAGACACUAGGUAACUUGCUCAGUGUCCCAAAGCUCAUGACUUGUAGAGGCGGGAUUUGAACUCAGUCAAUUGACUCUAGAGCCUAUGCUUCUAACCAGGCACUCGAUAAAUCCAGUCAGUGAAUCGAUGGCUUAUUUUCCAUGAGUCACCAAGGUAAAAAAAAUUUAGUUCCUAUCCUUCCCUAGUAGCUAAGAUGGUAAAAAAUUUGCCUGCAAUGUGGGAGACCUGGGUUCCAUCCCUCAGCUGGAAAGAUCCCCUGGAGAAGGAAAUAGCAACCCUCUCCGGUAUCCUUGUCUGGAGAAUCCCUAUGGACAGAGGAGCCUGGUGAGCUACAGUCCAUGGGGUCUCAAAGAGUCAGACAUGCCCGAGUGACUAACAUGCAGAAAAAGAGCUUUGUGCAUAUAAUCUUCUCAACGCCAAGGAAACCAGGGCAGCAACGGACGGCUGUGGAUGAUCACAGCCUGUCCUGUCAACGGUGUGGACGCGCUUGGCUGACUCAUAGUGCAGGUCACUGAGAAGGGACUUAAGCCCAGCUCUAAUGGUGAGUUCUAAAUGAAAAUGUCACCUGAAAGGUCUCUGUGUCUGGAUGAUUUAAUCCAUUUCUAAUGGAACACAUGAGCUGGCGUAGAACAGCCAGUUCUCCCUGACCUGUGCAAAAUGCUGAUUAUCCCAAGUUGUUUUUGUUUGCUUUGGGAUGUGUUCAGAGAUCAACACAUGCAGCCGUGCACAGCUUCACCAGCCAGGGCCUCCCAAGGGGACCCUUCCACUAUGGGCAGCCUAGACUAGGGGAGGCCAGGGCCAUUAGGAUGGAAGGUCUGGUCUCUUGGAAUGUCCUGAUGGUCAGGUUCAUUGGGAGGGGGCCACAGGCAGGACAUAGAGAGGGUAGAGAGGAAUAGAUACCUGGUCUGGUUCUGCUGUAGAGACCUCGAGAAUAAGGUCUAGAUAUAUGCCCUGCAGAGGGGGAGGGGAAAUCAAUAUGGUUUAGCUCAAAGUUUCAGAUUUCAGCACUAACUUUGCAUCUGUUUGUUAUUAAAAGUUAAAGUCUGUGCCUGCUCCAGCCCAGCCGCCCUGUGCUCUCUGACCUGAGGCAGGUACAUCCUGUUCCAGGCAGCUGGGCCUUUAAUCAUAAACUAUUCUGUUUUGCUAUUUAACUGUCUAUGUUCUUCCCUGAAAGGAUGGCAGGAGCCUUGGAAAUGGGGACUCGAGUGUUAAAAUCUAAUUUUUUUAAAUAUCAGGCACUGGUGCUAAGCACCCCAGGACCUGAUCUUAUUUAUUUCACUCGGCGAUUCUAGGAGGCAUUAAGCCCAUUGCACAGAGGAGGACACAGGUUUAGAGAUGCCUGUACCUAUCCUUUGCCCAUUUUUCUGCUGGAACUGAGGAAGAAUGAAAAGGAUUUUUACAGAUGUGGAAAGACGGAAUUUUAAAAGGGACUGGAUAAUUGUGGGGCACAGGAAGAUGAGGACUGGCAUUGAAAAAUAGCUUGAGGACCUACCACCUCUGCAGUUGCUGGAGAUAUCUGGGCCAGGCCUUUCCUCCUCCUCCAGCCUGAGCGACAGUCUGCUCAGGUACCAAGGGGAAGUCUGGAAAUUACAUUCUAGGUCUAGAAUUGCAGAUUUGAGCUUGGACUGUGAAUUGUCUGAGAAAUCACUAGGCCCCUCCUCUGAGCCUGGUUUAUCUCCAACGGGUUGAUUAAAGUUGGUGGAGGGGAGGUGGGGGCAUAAGAGAUUGGACUCAUAGCUUGAAUUAGUAACCGAUUUAGGAGAGAGGUAAAGCCUGAAAUAUGUCCUAACAAGACAGUCAGAGGCCAAGUUCAGAAAUUCCUCCCUAGGCCACAACAUGCUUUUGUGUUGUUGUUCUCUGUCUUUAUUUUCCUGGGAGGUAUGACUGAGGAUGUCUGAAGAGCUGUUUUCAGAACAGAGAAAGGAUCAAGCUAUGCUUUGGUGUCUCUGCAGUCACGUGGUUUGUACUCUGGAAAUCAGGCAGAUGUCAGUCACACACCCUCUGUUGUUUCUAGAAGGUGCAUGAGGUGGCUUCCAGAGGGUCUGUCAGGUAUCAUUGUUCCAUUCUUCCAUUCUUGGUGGAUUUAUCGACAGCAGCCCCUGGGCUUGGCCCUGUUCCCACAGACUCAGACAUGUAGAAGCUGACCUGUGCCUUCCAAAAUGUUAGACCCUAAUUAGAGGAAUAAGAGUACUGUGAUGGCUAAUUGUCUGGGUCAACUUGGCUGGGCCACAGAGCCCAGAUACCUGGUCACACAUUCUGGAUGCUUCUGUAAAGAUGUGUCUUGGAUGAGAUGAAGGUUUAAAAGUAGUGGACUUGGAGUAAAGCAGAUUGCCCUCCAUAGUGUGAGUCGACCCCGUCUAAUCCACUGAAGGUCUUAAUCAGAACGAAAAGUGAUGUCCCCCUGAGCAAGAGGGAGUUCUGCAGCAGACUGCACUUGGACUAAAACUCUUUACUGGGCCCCCAGCCUGCUGGCCUACCCUGAAGCUUUUGGACUUGCCUUUCCACAAUAGUGUGAACCAAUUCCUUAAAAUAAAUGUCUUUCUGUCCCUC
Molecule: long non-coding RNA, 2819 nt
Organism: Bubalus bubalis (water buffalo)
Lineage: Eukaryota; Metazoa; Chordata; Mammalia; Artiodactyla; Bovidae
Exons: 2
Source: RefSeq, a predicted model, not a curated record